This 520-nucleotide ribosomal RNA is filed under the name Fratercula cirrhata. Its description in RNAcentral is "partial 12S ribosomal RNA". It matches the Rfam family "Bacterial small subunit ribosomal RNA", at positions 787 to 1526 of the family's 1533-position model. The record is from RNAcentral. Lineage: Eukaryota; Metazoa; Chordata; Aves; Charadriiformes; Alcidae.
CCAUUAUGCCUAGCCCUAAAUCUUGAUGCUUACCACACCAAAGCAUCCGCCCGAGAACUACGAGCACAAACGCUUAAAACUCUAAGGACUUGGCGGUGCCCCAAACCCACCUAGAGGAGCCUGUUCUAUAAUCGAUAAUCCACGAUUCACCCAACCACCCCUCGCCAGAGGCAGCCUACAUACCGCCGUCGCCAGCCCACCUUCCCUGAAAGUCCCACAGUGAGCAUAACAGCCCAAAUCCGCUAAUAAGACAGGUCAAGGUAUAGCCCAUGGGGUGGAAGAAAUGGGCUACAUUUUCUAUAAUAGAAAACCCACGAAAGGGGGCGUGAAAUGGUCCCCGGAAGGCGGAUUUAGCAGUAAAGCGGGAUAAUAAAGCCCUCUUUAAGUUGGCUCUGGGGCACGUACAUACCGCCCGUCACCCUCCUCACAAGCCACCAACAUCCAUAAUUAAUAAGCUUCAUGGCUGAAGAUGAGGUAAGUCGUAACAAGGUAAGUGUACCGGAAGGUGCACUUAGUAUAC